RNAcentral lists this ribosomal RNA (253 nucleotides) under uncultured archaeon. RNAcentral's name for it is "partial 16S ribosomal RNA". It matches the Rfam family "Archaeal small subunit ribosomal RNA", at positions 474 to 727 of the family's 1478-position model. The record is from RNAcentral.
AACCAGCACCUCAAGUGGUCAGGAGGAUUAUUGGGCCUAAAGCAUCCGUAGCCGGCUCUGUAAGUUUUCGGUUAAAUCCAUGUGCUCAACGCAUGGGCUGCCGAAAAUACUGCAUAGCUAGGGAGUGGGAGAGGUAGACGGUACUCGGUAGGAAGGGGUAAAAUCCUUUGAUCUAUCGAUGACCACCUGUGGCGAAGGCGCCACACUAGAACGGAUCCGACGGUCAGGGACGAAACCUAGGGGCACGAACCGG